ACACAUGCAAGUCGAACGAUGAAGCCUUUCGGGGUGGAUUAGUGGCGAACGGGUGAGUAACACGUGGGCAAUCUGCCCUUCACUCUGGGACAAGCCCUGGAAACGGGGUCUAAUACCGGAUAACACUCUGUCCCGCAUGGGACGGGGUUAAAAGCUCCGGCGGUGAAGGAUGAGCCCGCGGCCUAUCAGCUUGUUGGUGGGGUAAUGGCCUACCAAGGCGACGACGGGUAGCCGGCCUGAGAGGGCGACCGGCCACACUGGGACUGAGACACGGCCCAGACUCCUACGGGAGGCAGCAGUGGGGAAUAUUGCACAAUGGGCGAAAGCCUGAUGCAGCGACGCCGCGUGAGGGAUGACGGCCUUCGGGUUGUAAACCUCUUUCAGCAGGGAAGAAGCGAAAGUGACGGUACCUGCAGAAGAAGCGCCGGCUAACUACGUGCCAGCAGCCGCGGUAAUACGUAGGGCGCAAGCGUUGUCCGGAAUUAUUGGGCGUAAAGAGCUCGUAGGCGGCUUGUCACGUCGGAUGUGAAAGCCCGGGGCUUAACCCCGGGUCUGCAUUCGAUACGGGCUAGCUAGAGUGUGGUAGGGGAGAUCGGAAUUCCUGGUGUAGCGGUGAAAUGCGCAGAUAUCAGGAGGAACACCGGUGGCGAAGGCGGAUCUCUGGGCCAUUACUGACGCUGAGGAGCGAAAGCGUGGGGAGCGAACAGGAUUAGAUACCCUGGUAGUCCACGCCGUAAACGUUGGGAACUAGGUGUU
Molecule: ribosomal RNA, 756 nt
Filed under: Streptomyces sp. VTT E-042648
Lineage: Bacteria; Bacillati; Actinomycetota; Actinomycetes; Kitasatosporales; Streptomycetaceae
Description: bacterial SSU rRNA
Rfam family: Bacterial small subunit ribosomal RNA
Source: RNAcentral